Long non-coding RNA from Lineus longissimus, 706 nucleotides. RefSeq lists it as uncharacterized. Lineage: Eukaryota; Metazoa; Nemertea; Pilidiophora; Heteronemertea; Lineidae. The record is from RefSeq and is a predicted model, not a curated record. The transcript is spliced from 3 exons.
UAAUCAUCCAUAGGAAUAUAAACCAUAUCUGGGCUGCUCUGCCAUCAUUCACACUCUGGAGGCAAAAGAAGAAGAGUCUGUUUAAGUCACUUGUAGAAAAAAGGCCUAGAUAAUCAUGGUGAAUCAACUGAUUGCAGUCGCUAUUGUCAUGGUAGUGCUAGCCACAGCAGCUGCCGACGAUUACUACGAACAGGGCACAAAACCCUACAACAAGAGAAGCUACUACAAGAAAAAUGAGGUCUGUGCAACGCUGGGCGAACCAGUCCUGGUCCAGACAGUCGACGAUUUGGCAUCUUGCGGGCGCUACGCUUCAGGAAAGGAUUCCUACUUCGGACGUUUUGUCCGUGAACCAAUGGCAGCUUACUUGGUCCAAACAGUGAGCAGUGGAUAUCUUUGCAGCUACUACGAUGAGAGAUGCAGUGCAUAGGGACUUCCAGAAAAAAAGCACAUUUGACAAAUUUUGGUGACGAAUUUGAGAUCCUUUUGACAACUUGUGCAAAAAUAUGUUGACAGUGGUAUAUAAAAUUGCUGCACUCUUUUUUAAAAUGAUGCCUCCACAGUAUCAAAAUGUUCCCAGCAUACUAUAAACUGCAUCAAUUUUUCUGAAAAUUUGAACUCCUUACGACGAACCCCAUCAGACCUAAAGUAGGCCAAGUAUCGUUUAGCAGCAAAUAAAGAGAAUGAUUAGUUGAGCUUGUAUCAGAAA